Molecule: ribosomal RNA, 253 nt
Filed under: uncultured bacterium
Lineage: Bacteria
Description: partial 16S ribosomal RNA
Rfam family: Bacterial small subunit ribosomal RNA
Source: RNAcentral
UACAGAGGUCUCAAGCGUUGUUCGGAUUCAUUGGGCGUAAAGGGUGUGUAGGUGGCGCCGUAAGUCGGGUGUGAAAUUUCGGAGCUUAACUCCGAAACUGCAUUCGAUACUGCGGUGCUUGAGGACUGGAGAGGAGACUGGAAUUUACGGUGUAGCAGUGAAAUGCGUAGAUAUCUGGAGGAAUACCGGUGGCGAAGGCGGCAUCCUGGACCGAGAUUGACGCUGAUGAGCGAAAGCUAGGGGAGCAAACGGG